AGUAACCUGCCCUUGACUUCGGGAUAACUCCGGGAAACGGGGUCUAAUACCGGAUAUGAGCACUCAUCGCAUGGUGGGUGUUGGAAAGUUUUUCGGUGGGGGAUGGGCUCGCGGCCUAUCAGCUUGUUGGUGGGGUGAUGGCCUACCAAGGCGUCGACGGGUAGCCGGCCUGAGAGGGCGACCGGCCACACUGGGACUGAGACACGGCCCAGACUCCUACGGGAGGCAGCAGUGGGGAAUAUUGCACAAUGGGCGCAAGCCUGAUGCAGCGACGCCGCGUGAGGGAUGACGGCCUUCGGGUUGUAAACCUCUUUCAGCAGGGAAGAAGCGCAAGUGACGGUACCUGCAGAAGAAGCGCCGGCUAACUACGUGCCAGCAGCCGCGGUAAUACGUAGGGSGCAAGCGUUGUCCGGAAUUAUUGGGCGUAAAGAGCUCGUAGGCGGUCUGUCGCGUCUGGUGUGAAAUCCCGAGGCUCAACCUCGGGCUUGCAUCGGGUACGGGCAGACUAGAGUGCGGUAGGGGAGACUGGAAUUCCUGGUGUAGCGGUGGAAUGCGCAGAUAUCAGGAGGAACACCGAUGGCGAAGGCAGGUCUCUGGGCCGCAACUGACGCUGAGGAGCGAAAGCAUGGGGAGCG
Molecule: ribosomal RNA, 635 nt
Filed under: Cellulomonas sp. A24MGC3
Lineage: Bacteria; Bacillati; Actinomycetota; Actinomycetes; Micrococcales; Cellulomonadaceae
Description: bacterial SSU rRNA
Rfam family: Bacterial small subunit ribosomal RNA
Source: RNAcentral